GUGUAUUACUAGGGGUUUUGAAAGCCCCAUCCGGUCUUUUAACCAAUACAUG
RNAcentral lists this transfer RNA (52 nucleotides) under Helicella itala. RNAcentral describes it as "tRNA-Ser". Lineage: Eukaryota; Metazoa; Mollusca; Gastropoda; Stylommatophora; Geomitridae. The record is from RNAcentral.